UACGGAGGGUGCAAGCGUUGUCCGGAUUCACUGGGUUUAAAGGGUGCGUAGGUGGGCAGGUAAGUCAGUGGUGAAAUCUCCGAGCUUAACUCGGAAACUGCCGUUGAUACUAUUUGUCUUGAAUAUUGUGGAGGUAAGCGGAAUAUGUCAUGUAGCGGUGAAAUGCUUAGAUAUGACAUAGAACAUCAAUUGCGAAGGCAGCUUACUACACAACGAUUGACGCUGAGGCACGAAAGCGUGGGGAUCAAACAGG
Molecule: ribosomal RNA, 253 nt
Filed under: uncultured bacterium
Lineage: Bacteria
Description: partial 16S ribosomal RNA
Rfam family: Bacterial small subunit ribosomal RNA
Source: RNAcentral